Sapajus apella (tufted capuchin) is the source of this 4298-nucleotide long non-coding RNA. RefSeq lists it as uncharacterized. The record is from RefSeq and is a predicted model, not a curated record. NCBI's taxonomy places the organism in Eukaryota, Metazoa, Chordata, Mammalia, Primates, Cebidae. The transcript has 3 exons.
GUUUGGGAAGGGGGCGGGGAGCUGCGCGAUGAGGUAAUUGGAACGGUGACCGGUCGGUCCUCGAGCGCCUCCCUGGGUCCCUGCACCUAGUUGGAGGGGACCGAGCGACCGCGGGGCGCUGCUCAGGCAACCUGGGGGACUCCCCCAAGGGUGUCAGGCUUCAGCUGGCAGCCAAUGAAACACCCCAGGGGGGAGGGGAGGUCGGCCGCUUCUAAUCCCGACGUGCCCUGGGUCCCCGACGCCCCGAGCCGCGUCUAAAAGGGCUCCCUCCGAUGAUCAGCUGCACGUCAUUUAACCCGCAAACCGGCGUCGCUGAGGCGUUCCGGAACCCAGGCCCGGGGGCUGCGGGGAUUGCCUCUGCGUGCAACUCCGCAAAGUUUCCCGGUGCCCCCCGACUGCACAGGCGCCCUCACCUUCGCCGCCUGAGAACGCCCGGCCGUGCCCUCUCUCUCUCCGCAGGUCCGGAAAUCGGCUUCGAUCUGGAGCUACUUACUCCGCUCUAGCCUGGAAAGGAGACCCGCGCACUCCUCUCGCAGCUAAUUUGGGAUCAUUAAUUUAAUCGGAAAUGAGGUAACCGGUGUAGGAGACAGAGAAAGCCACCGGAGCAUCAAAUGGCAGCUCUCGAGAAUCGAUGAAGAACUUGGGUCCGGACUCGGUGUUUCAGUGCGGUCCGCGACUCCCACCACCCCGCCCGCCCCUCCGCCUGUCCCGCCGCCAGGUGUGACCUCCACGUGAAGGAAUCUUCUUCAGCUGGGCUAACAUUGCCAACAGGUGUGGCACCUGGAGGACUGGGAGGCGCCUCCAGACUACCGGCGCUCAGCGCGGCGUUUUUGUUGCAGAUGAUUCUGGAAGGCCAGUAGGUGUCGGGCAACACUUGACCUCCUUCAGGUGCUUAGAACUAGGUGGCUGGAAACAUGAGCCCUUCGCGUAAGUUUCUUUCUGAAAACCACCGCUCUUGACUGUAAGCUGUAUUUGAGAGACCUUUUGGCUGAGUUUACUUAUGACCUAACGGUUAGUCACCAACUGAGGCAGGGCAGAGAAUGAUCAAAACAUGUGUCAGGUUUUACACAACUCUGGCCUGCAAGAGCCUACGUGCUCUUGAAAUAAAAAUAAACAUACGAGUGAGGAAAGUGCAGAGCCCCGGAAAUAUUUUUUCUCACAUUUUUGAAAUGCCGUGCACAUGUAAGUGGCUAUUUAAAUGUAACUACUACUGUUCACUCUUACUCAUUUCUACAACCCCCCCCCCCCCCCCAUUUAAAAAUCGAUGAUUGUUAAGGUUGAAACCUCGGGUUGGUCUAAAGUGACAUUGUUGGUCUCAUUACAGCCUCUAGCGGACAGUUAACAUCAGUUUCCUGAAAAGGCUCUCAUAGGUUUUGUUUUCGUUCACAAGCUUUGUCAAAGUGAAGGUUAGCACGUCAGAGCAUAACCGGGUAAAAUAUCCCCCACCCCUAUUCUCACCCCCGCCCCCAACCCCCUACUUGGCAAAGUCGACUUCAGAAAGGAGCAGAACCUUGUUGGCUUUGUAUAGCAAAGACGCAUGCUUUGUGUUGCAGGUAUCAUUAUUACUGGACUGUGAAUAAACAGAAAGCUUCUGCUAUUCAUUUCAGUUUCAGACAGCUUUCAUAAAAACUAAAUUCAUCUCAAAUAUUUUUAUAACAGAAAAUAUUGGUUGCCAUGUUUUUGGCUUAACUGCGAUGUUUUUAUUCCAACUCAUAAUCUGCAAACUGUCCAAUCCACCUCCACUCUAUUUUUAGACAUCUUACAUUUAGAUAAUUUUCAGUUAAAAAGCUAAUAUCGUAAUUAUUACGUUGGUGCAACCAGUUAAUCUACAUGAUUUUAACAACCUUAAAACACAUAAUUCAGGUUAGAGUGUCAAUUAAUUUAAAUGUUCUCUCAAGGAAGCUAAAUAUGUAUAUUACUGAAAUGGUAAAAACAAUAAGAAACGUGUCAUUUACUUUCUUAGCCAUUGAGAUUAAAGCCAUAAGCUGCCACCAAAAGUUGCCACUAUUUCUUCCUGCAAGAUCCAGCGUAAACACCAUACUCAUGAAACAGUCUCCUUACCUUUAGUACUGAAAUAUUUUGUUUUCAGAUGGCAAAAUAUUAAAUGUACAAUCACAAGACACUGAUUCUUUAGAAACAAGACUUUCUCAUGCAAAUAAAAACUCAAUGAGAAAGGGCAGAGCUUUCAAGAAGCUAGCAGGCAAACAUAUAUAGUACUGUAGUCCCAGUCAUAAGCUGAUGUUAUGUUUGUGCAAGCGUAAGUCAACUUUUGAAAUUACAGGAAAUAGAUAAAUAAGGCCCGAUGAGCUUGACUCAUAACCUGUGUUGCAGAUUGCUUAAAUACCAUGAAAAAUAAUUGUAAUCACAGAGCUAUUUUACCGUUUUGGUGGUAUCUACUCUUGAAGAUUUUAAAUGGACCAGCAAAUAUAUCAUAUAAUUACAUAUUACACCCUUACUUCUUAAAGUGUAGUCUUUAAACUAGCCGCAGCAGCACUAAGGAGCUUUUUAAACGUUCAGAGUCAAGGGUUCUACCCCAGACAUACUAAAUCAGAAACUUUCUUGAACCAGGCCCCUGGGUGAUUCCUAAACACAUUAUCAGGUGAAGAACAGUGGUCUAUAUCACAGGGAUCAAGCUAAAUAAAUUGGGGCACAGGUGCAGAAGCUAAUUCCUCUCUUUCUUGCCUGCUCCUUUUUAUUAAUUACAGCCUUUUAUUAAUUUGUGCAUUGCAAUGAAGAAUUAUUACAUUAUAUGCUUUGGAUAAAUACUACUGCAUUUUAAGAGCACACAUCUGCAUCAUUAUUGCCGAAAGAGAAUGCUCUGCUGAGGAAUGUACUGGGGUCUUAAACAUGAACAUUUUCUUCAUGGCAGCAGAGGGAGCACAAGAGUGCUUAAUAAAACCAGUGCACAGGUUUCUCCACACCACAACAGAUUUUAAAUUGUAGUAUAUGUUUUCAUUGGAAGUAGCCUGUUACGUAGUUCAAAAUGAAGCAAAACAACGGAACAAACACAAACAGCUUCCCAGGUCAUAACAACUACGUAAUUGAAUAGACUGGAAGUUGAAGAAAAUAAACUUCUUUAGGGUUUUAGGCUUGAAUUGUUAAAAGAAAUUCGAUCUCAAAAGUGAAAAAGAUGCCUCACCUUUGCUCUACUCAAAAACAAAGAUAACACAAUACAGAAUCAGGCAACCCUGGCAGAGUCGGUUCACGGGACCCUACAUCAGUUACUCUGGGAUCCCACAAGCUUCCCAGAAUCCUCUUUGACCACAAUCAAAGCAUAGUGUCUGAAAGUAGCCUGGCCACACAAAAUGUGCAAAACACUAUAACCUCUCCACAGCCUCCCUCCACUUCGCAUUUGAGGGAAAUGAUUCUAGAAGCUGAAAUAGACCAGAGUUCAACAGUCUGGGAAAUUUGAAGAAGAAAAAAGAGAGAAAAAAAAAAACAUCCAAGUCCUGCAUUUGCAGAGAUGUGAAGAGAACCCAGCUUUCUGAAGUUGGAAGGAAGUGAGAAGACCCUAUUUGUGGCUGCAGGAGAGGAAAAGAAAAGGGACCCGUAAGGAAACUACCAACAGAUGACAGGAAUCUGGGCCAAAGAGUUGCAGGAAAUUGGCAAAGAUCAUACAACUAGUUCACAGCAAAUUCAGCACUGGAACCUAAGACAUCACCCUCCUAGUCCUGUGUUUGCUCUCUUCUAUCCCUCAUUGAAGGUGGACACUGCUGAGAUGAGCAAAACCCAAUUCUAGGAGACUUCGAUCAUGGCAGUCCUCAUGCUUGGGUUCUUAUAAAGCAAGAUGAUGGCAUUUCUAUCUGGUCUGUAGAUGUUUGGGAAACUGGUUGAUAUUCUUUACAAGUAAGGUUUCAAGCUAAAAUAGAUUUGUUAAUUUCUGUCCUAAACCCCUGUGGGUUGUCUAGAUUAUAUAGCUACCACACUAUUUGGCACAGCGGGAUCCUCUUUUCAUGAAAUAGCAGGGAAGAUUGGUGGAUAAGGAUUAACAGCAUUGGCAGAGGAGACUGGGAGACUUACACAAUUACUUCCACCCAGUGCCUUCCUGGUCUAAGAACUUCUCCCAGCCUCUUUUGGAGAGAGAGGCAAGUGGGAGGAAAGGAGAUUUUUAUCUUUUUAGUAAAUGAAAAGACAACAAAAACACCUUAGUACUGCUCAAUUGGAUGAAAUCUUGAUUUCACAUGGUUUAAGUUUCUAUAAGACUAAAUAUAUUCUUUGUUCAAAAUUACUUAUAUAUUCAUAGAUAACUUUUCCAGUGGAUACAUAUGGAGUUCAUUAAUAAAAACUCUUCUCAAUCA